GGGCGGUUAGCUCAGGGGUAGAGCACAGCAUUCACACUGCUGGGGUCGGGGGUUCAAAGCCCUCACCGCCCACCA
Molecule: transfer RNA, 75 nt
Filed under: Bordetella sp.
Lineage: Bacteria; Pseudomonadati; Pseudomonadota; Betaproteobacteria; Burkholderiales; Alcaligenaceae
Also listed under: 14 other names
Description: tRNA-Val
Rfam family: tRNA
About the family: Transfer RNA (tRNA) molecules are approximately 80 nucleotides in length. Their secondary structure includes four short double-helical elements and three loops (D, anti-codon, and T loops). Further hydrogen bonds mediate the characteristic L-shaped molecular structure. tRNAs have two regions of fundamental functional importance: the anti-codon, which is responsible for specific mRNA codon recognition, and the 3' end, to which the tRNAs corresponding amino acid is attached (by aminoacyl-tRNA synthetases). tRNAs cope with the degeneracy of the genetic code in two manners: having more than one tRNA (with a specific anti-codon) for a particular amino acid; and 'wobble' base-pairing, i.e. permitting non-standard base-pairing at the 3rd anti-codon position.
Source: RNAcentral